GCGAGGUAAUCUCGCGAGAUUACACGAGACUGGACUGUUUUAACGGCUGUCUGCGAGAUCUUGCGUAUCACACGAGAAAAUGCUUCAGAGAAAGAAGAGAGCCCUUCAAAUUAGAAUAGUGAUGAUGAUCUUGUCAAUGCUGAGAUUUUCAUGCAUCAACAGCCACUACAUCUGGAUCAGAUUGAACAAGAAACAGACAGCAAGGGUUGUCAGGUCAGAAACAGAAUGACACACAAACACAAGAAACU
This is a long non-coding RNA of Paramisgurnus dabryanus, 248 nucleotides long. RefSeq lists it as uncharacterized. Lineage: Eukaryota; Metazoa; Chordata; Actinopteri; Cypriniformes; Cobitidae. The record is from RefSeq and is a predicted model, not a curated record.